UCUUAUACCAAUUUAAACAUGCAGCGCUUAGAAAUACCUUAAAUUUGAUCGUAUUCCUUGUCAUUCUGAAAAGUCUUGACUAGUAUAUUCAGCGACAAUAAAGUUCCAAAAAAACACGGUGCAUGGUGAACAAAAAACGUGUGUAUUUAAAACAAUGUCUUUAUCUCUCUAUAAAAAAGUAAAAUCACAAUAAUACUGAACUUCGAGGAAAAUCAAUUCGGAAAGUCCAUUAAUCAAAUGGCAAAAUCAAAUAACAAAACGCAUAAAAAACGAAUGGACAAGAACUGUCAUUUUCCUGACUUGGUACAGGCAUUUUCAAAUGUUGAAAAUGGUGGAUUAAACCUGGUUUUAUAGCGCUAACCCUCUCACUUUUGAUGACAGUCUCGUCAAAUUCCGUUAUAUUUACAUUGAUGCGUUAACUAAACAGACACAAUAAAUAAAAUAGUCAAAAUAUAGGUACAUCAGUCAUCAUCGUAUAACAAUUUUAAAAGGGAAAAUUUAACAGAACACAAAAACAUCUAUCUACAAACACAUUCCUUGAUUUGUGUGUCUGACGUCAGAAUUUUUUUCAUACGUCACAUAAAUUUGUCGUUCAAUGUGCAUGCAAACAAUUUUAAAAUUUACAUAGGCAAUGUUAGCAUGUAGGGUUAAUAAAUCAAAAGUAUGUAAGAAUAAAUAUCAGAAAUAGACCGAGAU
Molecule: long non-coding RNA, 696 nt
Filed under: Mytilus galloprovincialis (Mediterranean mussel)
Lineage: Eukaryota; Metazoa; Mollusca; Bivalvia; Mytilida; Mytilidae
Source: RNAcentral